UACGGAGGGUGCGAGCGUUGUCCGGAAUCACUGGGCGUAAAGCGUCCGCAGGUGGCAGUUCAAGUCUGCUGUCAAAGACCGGGGCUUAACUUCGGAAAGGCAGUGGAAACUGAACAGCUAGAGUAUGGUAGGGGCAGAGGGAAUUCCUGGUGUAGCGGUGAAAUGCGUAGAGAUCAGGAAGAACAUCGGUGGCGAAGGCGCUCUGCUGGACCAUAACUGACACUCAGGGACGAAAGCUAGGGGAGCGAAUGGG
Molecule: ribosomal RNA, 253 nt
Filed under: uncultured bacterium
Lineage: Bacteria
Description: partial 16S ribosomal RNA
Rfam family: Bacterial small subunit ribosomal RNA
Source: RNAcentral